This 301-nucleotide ribosomal RNA is filed under the name uncultured bacterium. Its description in RNAcentral is "partial 16S ribosomal RNA". It matches the Rfam family "Bacterial small subunit ribosomal RNA", at positions 509 to 809 of the family's 1533-position model. The record is from RNAcentral.
CAGUCGCCGCGGUAAUACGUAGGGUGCAAGCGUUGUCCGGAAUUAUUGGGCGUAAAGAGCUCGUAGGCGGUUUGUCGCGUCGGCUGUGAAAACCUGGGGCUCAACCCCGGGCCUGCAGCCGAUACGGGCAAACUAGAAUUCGGUAGGGGAGACUGGAAUUCCUGGUGUAGCGGUGAAAUGCGCAGAUAUCAGGAGGAACACCGGUGGCGAAGGCGGGUCUCUGGGCCGAUAUUGACGCUGAGGAGCGAAAGCGUGGGCAGCAAACAGGAUUAGAUACCCCCGUAGUCCCUGUCUCUUAUAU